GACGAACGCUGGCGGCGUGCUUAAUACAUGCAAGUCGAACGGACCGAUUCCGGUAGUUUUCUUUUGGUAUUGGUUAGUGGCGGACGGGUGAGUCACGCGUGGGCAAUCUGCCCCUAAGUCCUGGCUAACAGAGCGCAAGUUCUGCUCCGACUGGUUACUCUUUCCUAGCCGUUUGGUUGGUAAAGGAAAUGGAACGCUUAGGGAUGAGCCCGACUCCCCUUAGAUAGUUGGUUAGGUAACGGCCCACCAACGCAACGAUGGGUAGCCGGCCUGCGAGGGUGGACGGCCACACUGGGACUGAGAAGCGGCAGAGAAUCCUACGGGAGGGAGGAGUAGGGAAUGUUCGGAAAUGGGCGGAAGCAUGAACGAGCAACGCCGCGUGAGGGACGAAGGUAGGCGGAUCGUAAAGCGUUAUCAUCGAGGACGAUAAUGACGGUACUCGAGGAGGAAGCCCCGGCUAACUACGUG
RNAcentral lists this ribosomal RNA (468 nucleotides) under uncultured bacterium. Its description in RNAcentral is "partial 16S ribosomal RNA". It matches the Rfam family "Bacterial small subunit ribosomal RNA", at positions 28 to 507 of the family's 1533-position model. The record is from RNAcentral.